This 242-nucleotide ribosomal RNA is filed under the name Drosophila polychaeta. RNAcentral's name for it is "partial 28S ribosomal RNA". Lineage: Eukaryota; Metazoa; Arthropoda; Insecta; Diptera; Drosophilidae. The record is from RNAcentral.
ACGUCAGAACUGUUUCGGUCUUCCAUCAGGGUUUCCCCUGACUUCAACCUGAUCAAGUAUAGUUCACCAUCUUUCGGGUCACAGCAUAUAUGCUCAAGGUACGUUCCAGUUAGAGGUAUAAACAAUAUAAAUAUUAUUAUACAUAACUAUAUAGAACGCCCCGGGAUUGCGUUAAAUAACUAUAAAUAGUUAUAAAAUUAAUCCCUUUUAAUUUAAGUCAAGUUAAUUACGCUAUUGGGUUU